Molecule: long non-coding RNA, 873 nt
Filed under: Monodon monoceros (narwhal)
Lineage: Eukaryota; Metazoa; Chordata; Mammalia; Artiodactyla; Monodontidae
Description: lncRNA (ENSMMNG00015004012.1)
Source: RNAcentral
AUGAGAAGUGUACUAAACCUUGGGGAAUUGGGUCCCCUACCCUGGCCUCCUCCUGGGCUCAGCCCUGCUUGCUCUGAAGAGGUUGGUAAACCCUCUGCAUCCACGAGGUUAGGACAAGAUCUUGUUGCUAAGAACUGCUCAAGGGCCAAGAGUAUGCUCUGGACCAAAGAGAAAAGCCCAUCACACCAGGCUAACAUCCCCCCCCUUCCCCGUGCCUUCAUCCCUCACAGUAUGCAGCUGACCCCCAGGACAAGCACUGGCUGGCCGAGCAGCAUCACAUGCGGGCAACAGGGGGGAAGAUGGCCUACCUCCUCAUUGAGGAGGACAUCCGGGACCUCGCUGCCAGCGAUGACUACAGAGGAUGCUUGGACCUGAAGUUAGAGGAGCUGAAAUCCUUUGUCCUGCCCUCCUGGAUGGUUGAGAAGAUGCGGAAGUACAUGGAGACACUCCGGACAGAGAAUGAGCAUCGUGCUGUCGAAGCGCCUCUGCAGACCUGAAGCCAGGUCCCCUGGCUACAGUUGGCAGCCCUCCUCCAAGGCCCUCUUACCCACAUGGCUGAGGCCACUGCUGGGACUACUCCUAGAUGGAUCUCAGAGGCAUUAAAGCUAUGCCUGGGCUAGUUUGUAGUGACUCACUGCAGAACACCCCCAGACUGGCAUGUGGUUCUAUAUUUGUAAAGUUAUUGGGAUAAGAAGCAAUUAAAUGGUUUGUAAUAAACACAGAUGGUGAGCCUGCUGUGAGGUCUGCCUGUGCACGCUGACAAAACAUCAAGGGCUCUAGAGGAAGUGGGUGAAGGAAAAAAGGACCAGGCUCGCUUCCCCCACCCCACAUUAUUCCCAGGAAGCCCAGUGCCCCAUGCGUAUCUGCUUUGUG